CCUACGGGAGGCAGCAGUGGGGAAUAUUGCACAAUGGGGGAAACCCUGAUGCAGCGACGCCGCGUGAGUUAAGAAGUAUUUCGGUAUGUAAAGCUCUAGCAGCAGGGAAGAAAAUGACGUUACCUGAUUAAGAAGCCCCGGCUAACUACGUGACAGCAGCCGCGGUAAUACGUAGGGGGCAAGCGUUAGCCGGAUUUCCUGGGUGUAAAGGCAGAGUAGACGGCAGCACAAGUCUGGAGUGAAAUGCCUGGGCUUAACCCCGGAACUGCUUUGGAAACUGUGCAGCUAGAGUGCAGGAGAGGUAAGUGGAAUUCCUAGUGUAGCGGUGAAAUGCGUAGAUAUUAGGAGGAACACCAGUGGCGAAGGCGGCUUACUGGACUGUAACUGACGUUGAGGCUCGAAAGCGUGGGGAGCAAACAGGAUUAGAUACCCUUGUAGUC
RNAcentral lists this ribosomal RNA (440 nucleotides) under uncultured bacterium. RNAcentral's name for it is "partial 16S ribosomal RNA". It matches the Rfam family "Bacterial small subunit ribosomal RNA", at positions 338 to 795 of the family's 1533-position model. The record is from RNAcentral.